Molecule: ribosomal RNA, 332 nt
Filed under: uncultured bacterium
Lineage: Bacteria
Description: bacterial SSU rRNA
Rfam family: Bacterial small subunit ribosomal RNA
Source: RNAcentral
UGGGGAAUAUUGGGCAAUGGGCGAAAGCCUGACCCAGCAACGCCGCGUGAGGGAAGAAGGGUUUCGGCUCGUAAACCUCUGUCCUAUGGGACGAAGGAAGUGACGGUACCAUAGGAGGAAGCCCCGGCUAACUACGUGCCAGCAGCCGCGGUAAUACGUAGGGGGCGAGCGUUGUCCGGAAUGAUUGGGCGUAAAGGGCGCGUAGGCGGCCUGGUAAGUCUGAAGUGAAAGUCCUGCUUUUAAGGUGGGAAUUGCUUUGGAUACUGCUGGGCUUGAGUGCAGGAGAGGAAAGCGGAAUUACCGGUGUAGCGGUGAAAUGCGUAGAGAUCGGU